Long non-coding RNA from Asterias rubens (European starfish), 2957 nucleotides. RefSeq lists it as uncharacterized. Lineage: Eukaryota; Metazoa; Echinodermata; Asteroidea; Forcipulatida; Asteriidae. The record is from RefSeq and is a predicted model, not a curated record. The transcript is spliced from 2 exons.
UGUCCAAUGGCUUUAAAAAGCAGCUUUUCAAAAUAAAUAUUCUCAUCUCCAUUUAAAAGUCUUAAUUAAUAUUUUAAGCAUCUUCCACCGAAGGUUUCCACGACAACCAUUAACGACCUCUAUUUUGUUUAUUUGUUUAAUUUGAGGAAAUAUUAUUAGUUGCUUGUAAACUGCUUACCAACCAAAUGGACUUAUAGUAUAUAUGCAAUUAUCAGUUAAUGGCUCAACGUUUUGACACUAGCAGAGUCUUUUUCGAGGGCCAAAUGAAAGGGAAAGACUCUGGUCAAAACAUCGGACCAUUCACUAUUUUUUGCAUUUUUUGUAUUUGAUUUCUUAGUGUAUUCAUUCAUAUUUUUUUAAAAAGGUAUGGGCAUUUCACUCUACUCUUGACAUAAGAGCAGCCAUCUUGGGCUGUAGCAGAAUAUUAAAUUAAUAACCCAUUGACGACGCAGAGCGCUUUUUAUAAAACAUAACAAAAAGAUUAAUGACAGAUCCCCUAACAGACGGCAACUUAACUGUCUGGUGAGCACUACACUUAACUGCCAGGAGUCGUUAACUUUGUGUACAUUUUGACUCCUAAAAUGGCAGACUGGAUAGGUAUGUGUAAGUGUGCAGCGUGGUAUGCAAUGGAUCCAUACCAUUUUUUUGUAAAAGUCUGACCCAACUUAGUCAUCCUUGAAAUAGUUGCCGUUAUGAUGGAGAUCAUUUCUAUUUGUUUUUCUCUUUUAAAAUAAACCCCCCAAUUAUUACAGAUCAUAGCACAAAAUCUUCUCAAGUAAAAAGCGGGAAAACACUUUUGUAAUUACAAACCGUGUAAAUUGUGUGACCUGCCCUGAAAUUUAGAAAAAGUGUAAAAAAUAUAAAAAGAAUGAUAUAUAGUUUACAUAGAUAAAUGCAUAAUGGAAGUAUAGUGUUCUGAUGGGUGUGUAGGGAUGAGAUUUAAUGAAACCCUAACAUCAGGAAAAAUUAUGAAACUGUCAUACCUGCUCAGCCCUCUGGCAAAACAGCCUCACUGACAAAUUUUGGUUUCUUAUUUAAGUUGAUUUCUGGGUAAAUUGAGGGCCUUUUUUCCAUUUCAAAGUUUCAAAGAUAACAUUGCCUCAUUGCAGGUAUUCUACAUUAAACUACAUUCAAAUGAAUGUGCCUCAUUGCAGGUAUUCUACAUUAAACUACAUUCAAAUGAAUGUGCCUCAUUGCAGGUAUUCUACAUUAAACUACAUUCAAAUGACUCUUUAAGCCCAUUAUAUAUAAAGCAGCUAAAAAAUAAACUACUAUUGUGUCAUCUUGGUGAUCGAUAGUUGCUGAAGUAUUUAAAACAAUGUAACACAUAAGGUUGCAGCCAAAAGUUAGUUAAAAUGUAACAUCAAAUUUGAAAAGGAUAACUUUGAGUUUUAAACAUAAGGUUGCAGCCAAAAGUUGGUUAAAAUGUAACAUCAAAUUUGAAAAGGAUAACUUUGAGUUUUAGUUUCUAUAGUAUAUACAGUUUGCAUGUAGUUCCUUUGUAGUUACUUUGCAAACACUAAUUGAAAAUUAAUGAAGUAAAAACAACAAAUUGUUCCCAUGCUCUUCAGUCAUGGUCAGGGGUGGGUUUCUUAAAGAGUUAACACUAGUCUUAUCUCAAGUUAGGACAAGUUACUUGUCUUAACUUAGGACUAGACUUAUGUUUUUAAGUUAGGACUAUUCCUAACUCUUUGUGAAAUCGCUCCCUGGUUUCCGUUUUAAUAGCAGAUGCCAACACUCUCAUAGGUUUGCCAUAACAAUUUUUGAGUGUCCAAUUAUGUACUGAAAUUAAACCCAAUGAUAUGGAUUGAUUGUAUUGAUUUUAUACACAAGUGUAUAAAUAAGGCGUGUUUAAACUCCUCAAUAUUGCCUCUGUAGCCGUCAGUCAUAGCCAUAGUCGCUUGAAUCUGACUCGGCUAACUAUUCUGAUUGGCUCAUUCUUACAUAGACUGGUGCCAUGUUAAUAUCCCAAUAAUACAUUGUUAUUAGAAGUAAGCGGACAAUAUAGCUAUGGUAACCAUCUUGUUUUUCUCCCAUUUAAAGGGGCUGUACAUGUAAUUAUGAACUCUUACUGCAAGCUUGUUUGGGCUCUCCAUAGAUAUUAGAGAGUUUUCGUUUUCUACGACGGAUGGUUCUGCAUUGUUGAUUUCAGCACAAUGCAGAUUCAUCCCAAGUACUGUCAGAGAAAUUGAGGGAUGACCAUCCCCAUGCGCAGAGGACACCAAACGUCAUCAUGAUCAUUGCAGAACCAUCCGUCAUCGAAAACGAAAGCUCCCUAUGGAGUGAAGGUGCGCAGUAACCGGGUGAGAGUUUAUAAUUCCUUGUUUAACCACAGGUCUGCUUUGAUCAUAAUGACAUUACCUGUAAGUCAGUUUCUAUCCGAAUGAGGCGGUAAUGGUCCUCAAUGAACCAGGCAAUAUUGCAUGAAGAUUAUAGAAAUACAAAGCUAAGAAUGUUGAGUAUUGUGGUCCGACUGACUCAAUAGAGCUUUGUGUGUCUGCUAGUUAUCGAGUAUCAAGAUCAUGUUAUUUCACAUUAAGCAUUCAUCUGAAGUUUAGUUUCCAAUAUCUGCUUGAACAGCAAAUUAUUACUGCUGAGCAAUACACCAGGACACCAGUUACAGAUUGUACAUGUGGGAUGGUAUUUUGGCUGGUUACCUUUUUCUGCUUAGCAUUUUUGGUAUGCUUAGCUAUUUUUGUGCAUAAGCAGCUGAAUUAAAAUAUGCCCAGGAACACACUUAGUAUUCUCAGAGUGCUAUUUAUAAAUCAAGUAAAAGGCUAAGAAUUUUUAUUUUAGUUUCAUCUUCCCAAACAUAUUUUAUUGAAAGAGAUUUGGUUUUGUUUGUAAAGGAUUGCAUAAAUGUAAGAAAAAGAUAGAAACAAGACUGAAUGGUUAUAAAAGGAAUGUUGGAAAGAGAGUAAUAAUAAGUAAAAUGCAUACUGUGCAUUUAUGUCAAA